AGAUGAAUCAGAAGACAAAGAAGAAUGCGAAGAUUCCGACUGGUUUUACGGUAUAUUCUAAAAAAUGAGCAGUUAUUCGAUGUGCUCAAUAUUAUAUGGACCAUAAGAUGAAUAUUGUUUACUGGGAUUAUUAAAAGUAGUAUUUGUGUUUCUCUUUGUUGUAUGGGAUUACAAAAUUUAAAUAGAUGUAGUUUGCGUUG
Agrilus planipennis (emerald ash borer) is the source of this 200-nucleotide long non-coding RNA. RefSeq lists it as uncharacterized. NCBI's taxonomy places the organism in Eukaryota, Metazoa, Arthropoda, Insecta, Coleoptera, Buprestidae. The record is from RefSeq and is a predicted model, not a curated record. The transcript is spliced from 3 exons.